This 390-nucleotide ribosomal RNA is filed under the name uncultured bacterium. RNAcentral's name for it is "bacterial SSU rRNA". It matches the Rfam family "Bacterial small subunit ribosomal RNA", at positions 369 to 775 of the family's 1533-position model. The record is from RNAcentral.
CAAUGAGCGAAAGCUUGAUGCAGCAACGCCGCGUGCGCGAUGACGGCCUUCGGGUUGUAAAGCGCUUUUCGGGGAGAUGAGGAAGGACAGUAUCCCCGGAAUAAGUCUCGGCUCACUACGUGCCAGCAGCCGCGGUAACACGUAGGAGGCACGCGUUAUCCGAAUUUACUGGGCGUAAAGCGCGUGCAGGCGGUUCGGUAAGUUGGAUGUGAAAUCUCCCGGCUCAACUGGGAGGGGACGUUCAAUACUGUCGGACUUGAGGACGAUAGAGGGAGGUGGAAGUCCCGGUGUAGUGGUGAAAUGCGUAGAUAUCGGGAGGAACACCAGUGGCGAAAGCGGACUCCUGGAUCGUUCCUGACGCUCAGACGCGAAAGCUAGGGGAGCGAACGG